Molecule: long non-coding RNA, 745 nt
Filed under: Citrus sinensis (sweet orange)
Lineage: Eukaryota; Viridiplantae; Streptophyta; Magnoliopsida; Sapindales; Rutaceae
Description: long non-coding RNA (CSIN_LNC004061)
Source: RNAcentral
UUAUUUAAAAUAAUUUGUUUAUAAUUUAUCCAUAUAUAUUUAUAUAUAUAGACAAAAACCUUACGCAAAACCUAAUUCCCCUUUUGCUUAGUUCACUUCUUCAGUUCUUCUUCUCUAUCGCGAAAGAAAGAGAGAGAUUGAAUGACAAUCAAACUCACACACACAAGCUUUUGCCAUCGCUGACAAUCACUCACGUCCACGCCCGCUACCGCCGUUGUGACUUCCAUUCAAGUGUGCCGACCCCACAACUUGUAGCCGUUCUCAAUUUGGUUCCUCGAUCCAACUGCUGUUCGUUGCCUGUGACUUCAUUCGCCAUCGUUAGCUAUCAAAACUACAUUUCCUAUAUGAGCACAAAUCUUUCAUUUUACAUUCUUUUCUUAUCUAAUUUUUGUUAUAAUUUUUUGGAUUUAAGUGUCCAUGGAGAUGGUAAUUUUCCCUGACUAUCUAAUUUUUAUAUAAUUCUGUAAAAAUAUUUUGUUUUGCUUGUCUGCUUUGGCAUAAUUGUGCUUGGUUGAAGCUGUGAUAUAGUUUUAUAAGUCUACAUUUUUUCAUCUUUUGUGCACUCUUGCAAUUCCAAGUUCUAGAAGUGUCUAUAUUUUUUUUUUUUCUCGUUAUGAUGAUGUGUCAAUUUAUCCUUGUGUGCUUUGCUGUCUGUUGAUAAAGGGAGGUAGUCUAUGUUAUGUGGUUAUGUGUGGCAAGUUUAGGGGUUUGGGGAUCAUAAAUUUGUAUUGGAACUCUCUCCACC